RNAcentral lists this long non-coding RNA (267 nucleotides) under Lathyrus oleraceus (garden pea). RNAcentral describes it as "Pisum sativum (pea) long non-coding RNA (PSAT_LNC021590)". Lineage: Eukaryota; Viridiplantae; Streptophyta; Magnoliopsida; Fabales; Fabaceae. The record is from RNAcentral.
AACCACUUGGUGAUUUUUUUUAUCUUUUAUACAAAAAUAAAAAAAGUUCAUAAUUGACCCAUUCUAGUUUUUUCUUUGGAAGCAAAACCCUAAACCAAUCGUGAUUUGUUCCUUACCAAGAAUGAAGAGUGACUUUAAAAGGAAAAUGAUAAUUGUUCCAAUUAGGGAGAGAUUGCUUCAUGGACAAGAAAAAUAAUAAAAAAAAGGAAUAAAGGGAAAGAAAGAUGCAAUGAAAAGAAAGAGAAAAAGAAAGAAAGAAAUGAAAAA